This 389-nucleotide ribosomal RNA is filed under the name uncultured bacterium. Its description in RNAcentral is "bacterial SSU rRNA". It matches the Rfam family "Bacterial small subunit ribosomal RNA", at positions 775 to 1159 of the family's 1533-position model. The record is from RNAcentral.
AGUCAAUAGAUACCCAGGUAGUCCACGCCGUAAACGAUGAGUACUAGGUGUAGGAGGUAUCGACUCCUUCUGUGCCGCAGUUAACACAAUAAGUACUCCGCCUGGGAAGUACGGUCGCAAGAUUAAAACUCAAAGGAAUUGACGGGGGCCCGCACAAGCAGCGGAGCAUGUGGUUUAAUUCGAAGCAACGCGAAGAACCUUACCUAGACUUGACAUCCCCUGAAUAACGUAGAGAUACGCGAAGCCCUUCGGGGUCAGGGAGACAGGUGGUGCAUGGUUGUCGUCAGCUCGUGUCGUGAGAUGUUGGGUUAACGUCCCGCAACGAGCGCAACCCGUUAUCAUUAGUUGCUACCGAUUUAGUUGAGCACUCUAGUGAGACUGCCCGGGUU